This 496-nucleotide ribosomal RNA is filed under the name uncultured bacterium. Its description in RNAcentral is "partial 16S ribosomal RNA". It matches the Rfam family "Bacterial small subunit ribosomal RNA", at positions 28 to 506 of the family's 1533-position model. The record is from RNAcentral.
GAUGAACGCUGGCGGCGUGCCUAAUACAUGCAAGUCGAGCGAACAGACGACGAGCUUGCUCCUCUGACGUUAGCGGCGGACGGGUGAGUAACACGUGGAUAACCUACCUAUAAGACUGGGAUAACUUCGGGAAACCGGAGCUAAUACCGGAUAAUAUAUUGAACCGCAUGGUUCAAUAGUGAAAGACGGUUUUGCUGUCACUUAUAGAUGGAUCCGCGCCGCAUUAGCUAGUUGGUAAGGUAACGGCUUACCAAGGCAACGAUGCGUAGCCGACCUGAGAGGGUGAUCGGCCACACUGGAACUGAGACACGGUCCAGACUCCUACGGGAGGCAGCAGUAGGGAAUCUUCCGCAAUGGGCGAAAGCCUGACGGAGCAACGCCGCGUGAGUGAUGAAGGUCUUCGGAUCGUAAAACCCUGUUAUUAGGGAAGAACAAAUGUGUAAGUAACUAUGCACGUCUUGACGGUACCUAAUCAGAAAGCCACGGCUAACUACGU